UGGGCGAUAGCUAAAUGAGAAGGCACUUGGCCGUUAACCAAGAGAUAAUAGGAUAAAAACCUAUUCGCCCAG
RNAcentral lists this transfer RNA (72 nucleotides) under Phormosoma bursarium. RNAcentral's name for it is "tRNA-Asn". It matches the Rfam family "tRNA". From Rfam's summary of the family: Transfer RNA (tRNA) molecules are approximately 80 nucleotides in length. Their secondary structure includes four short double-helical elements and three loops (D, anti-codon, and T loops). The record is from RNAcentral. Lineage: Eukaryota; Metazoa; Echinodermata; Echinoidea; Echinothurioida; Phormosomatidae.